UACGAAGGGGGCUAGCGUUGCUCGGAAUCACUGGGCGUAAAGCGCACGUAGGCGGAUUUCUAAGUCAGGGGUGAAAUCCUGGAGCUCAACUCCAGAACUGCCUUUGAUACUGGGAAUCUCGAGUCCGGGAGAGGUGAGUGGAACUGCGAGUGUAGAGGUGAAAUUCGUAGAUAUUCGGAAGAACACCAGUGGCGAAGGCGACUCGCUGGACAGACAUUGACGCUGAGGUGCGAAAGCGUGGGGAGCAAACAGG
Molecule: ribosomal RNA, 253 nt
Filed under: uncultured bacterium
Lineage: Bacteria
Description: partial 16S ribosomal RNA
Rfam family: Bacterial small subunit ribosomal RNA
Source: RNAcentral